Long non-coding RNA from Equus caballus (horse), 2888 nucleotides. The record is from Ensembl. NCBI's taxonomy places the organism in Eukaryota, Metazoa, Chordata, Mammalia, Perissodactyla, Equidae.
CGUCCCGGCCCGCGCCCCCUCCCCCCUGGCGCCCCUGCUCCCCUCCAGCCCCGCCCACUUGCCCCCUCCCCCCCAUCCAUCCACUCCCUGGCCCACCCCCGCGGCCUGGCUCUCGCCUAACCUCGCCCCCUAUGUCCCCGCGCCCUGCCCGCCGCCCCCGGCUCGCUUCCAGCCUCUGUCGGGACUUCCCCUCACCUGCCCGCGCUCCUCGAGGGACGGAGCCCUGUUCCGGCGGUCCCACUCCGGGGAAGGGGGGGCUUGUCGACCAACCCCCCAAGCUGCUCGUAAUUGACGAGAGGGGCCCACUUCCCGUGCGACCAGAGGAGGCCGGCUGGUGCUGGGGGUGGAGGUACAGAGGCUCCCGCUCUGGCCGGUCAAGACCUCGGAGAGAAGGUCGGGCAGUGCUGGCGACCCUGUCCACAGUCACUGUCCCCGGAGAUCAGAACCUCACCGGCGGGGUGCGGGCUGACCAACGGGGAGGAGGCCGGGCUCUGGCCACAGGACCCCCAGCUCUCCCCGAGGGCGGAAUCCAGACCGCCUCCCGUUAAGUAUAACCGGCCGCCGCGAGGGCUGGGACGUCCAGACCCCGGCGACUCGCUCAUUCCCUGCAGGGCGCGCUGGCCUUCGCUGUAAAUGGCAGUGUCCAGCCGUCCCAACAACAGCCGAGAAGAGCCAGGUCCACUUUGGGAACUUCAAAAUGCGAACAAAAGUGUCUUUCCGCCUGACCGUGAACACAAGAGUGAUUUUCAAUGGAAAUGUUAGGAAAGUAGAGAAAAGGAUUACAUCUUGGCAACUGUCCAUCAACUCUGAGGUAAAAAUAAACACGACUCACACCUCAGAGAGGGAGAGAAAAGAGAGAAACAGGCUCUGUCCCUUCUCGGAGGAAUAAAAAUGACAGACGAUCAUAACCGCAUUAGAGACUGAAGAGGUGAGGAAGUAAGGACUGAUUUGCAGACACAACCCCACCGCAGAUUAAAAACCAAUGCAGUGUAUACGGAGUGGAUAACUUUGAUGUCCACCGAGUCUUGGUUUUAAUUGUGGAAGAGAUUUAAGUGUUCUAAAUACAUUCAAUAGGAUCAUAGUUAUAAACUCUUCGGAGCACUUCAGACAUCCGACAUGAAAGAGCUCUGCAUUUUGGGGGCUUUUUCCCCUUUAAUCUACCACCCCAAUGAGCCCACCCCAAGUCUCUGAUGGACCCUUACAACUGGGUGAGACUGACAUGCAGCAGCCCCAGCACAGGCAGUGUGAUUUGAGGGCAUGCCGAAGGCUUUCCACCACACCAACGGCCCAGAAUUUUCCACCUCAUCACUGUGCCUCCUUCCAGUAAUUACCUAGUCACAUUUCCAGAUUUCAGGUGUCAUGUUGCUGUCUGACCUGCAGUACCCAGCAGAAACCGCUGAAAUUAGGUGAUAGAAGAUUUGGUUAUGUGAUGAUGCAAAGAGAGGAGAAAGAAUUCCAGAGCAUCAGGACACUGAAAUCAUGUUAAAGCACAUAGUUGAGAGGAGUGUGGAUGACAAGAAGGGAGGAGAGUUACGGCCAGCUAGAUAGCAGCACAAGGCUUCCGGUGCCAGGAGAAGAGACAGCUUGGAUAAUGCCAGCCCCACAAUUUUAAAGGCCAGCUCUGUGUUCUGGUAUAUACUCAGUGGAGUGAACAUGUUGAAAUAGUCCCCUUUAUAUCAACAAAUAACACCCCAGUGUAAAUAGAAAUUUCUACAGAAUUUCUGUGGCACUGAUUAAGACUAUCUGUAUAAAUCUGAAACAUAAUUGUGCAAGAGCCCACCAAAUAUUUUGACAGCCAUGGGCAAUGUCAGCCAGUGCCUGCUUAUUCAAAGGCUAAUAGUAGGUACGUUUUAAGAUUCAUGCUUAUAGCAGGAAUGAAGUAAUAGAUAAUUUCUGGAAAAAAAAUAUAUUUGCCUUAUUUCAGGUCUUAAACAUCAAUCUUCUGACGUCAAACCAGCAUGAGGCCCAGCCACCUCCUGUGCAGCUAAAUCAGUCUUGUUGUUCUUUUCUCUUUGUUUGGUUUGGUUUUGUUGUUCCUGGGCUCUUGGAACUCAAAAAGCACAGACUUCUAAUCCAGUGCUCUAUUCAUUAACCCACACCUCUUCUUAGACUUCGUAGGUCAAGGUGGGGAACCUGGGCCUCGGAGCACAGACCUCAAAGUUGCCGACGUCAGAUGACACUCGGUGGACCUCGAUCUCGCUCUCCCAGUCUUCAGCCAGAAGCGCACUGUGAACUCAUUGUGAACUUGCAAGGACUCACCAAGAAGCAUUCUCAUCUCCCUCCGUCCUGUCCUUCCGCUAAUCCAGCCACUUCUUCAUCCUCAGCUCUAAUCGCUACCCACUUGGCAUGUGCUUUCUGGAAUGUCGAAGUCUUUUUGUGUUUUUUUAGUAUUUCUAAAAGUUUAAUAACUUAGAUUGUUGAUAGAAUAGAAAGAACCUGAAAAACACAUUGAAAGUCCGAUUGAGCUUUCUUUUCAAAGCUUAUGACCUUAAAUUCUGCUAAGCUUAAAGUUUAUCUUCUUGUCCACAGUAGCCAUUUUUCACUUGUUGCAGGACCUAAAAUUAGAAUACUUUGAGAGUGAUUGUGCAAUGUAUUUGGCCUAAAUUUUAGCAAAUGUAUUUAUUUCAAGAUGUAAUUUCUUGUGUUUCUAUCAUUUCUAAAAUAAGUUGUAAAUUAAAAAGUGCACAAAGCCUUUUGAAGAUCUCUGUAUGCAACUGUGUAUGCACACAAAUGGGACUAAGAACUUAGCAUGUAAUCCUAGAUUCUUUUUUUUUUUAAAGAUUGGCACCUGAGCUAAAAACUGUUGCCAAUCUUCGUUUUUUUUCCUGCUUUUUCUCCCCAAAUCCCCCCAGUACAUAGUUGCAUAUUUUAGUUGUGGGUCCUUCUAG